CAAAAUGCAAAAAAGAGUUCAAAAGUGAAGAACUUCAAAAACCGCUCAGCUUUUAAGAAAAGCCGAGACUUAACGCCACAACCGCUCAGCGGUCUGCGGUAUUUUUCACUUCUUCUUCUUUGCUUUCUUUUGAGUAAUCUUACCUUAUAGCACUCAGUUUCAACCUUCAAUUUUUCAUUUAUAUGCCUUUCCCCUCUAGUAGGUGUGCUUUGUAACGCUC
Molecule: long non-coding RNA, 220 nt
Filed under: Vigna radiata
Lineage: Eukaryota; Viridiplantae; Streptophyta; Magnoliopsida; Fabales; Fabaceae
Description: long non-coding RNA (VRAD_LNC008641)
Source: RNAcentral